This is a non-coding RNA of Rattus norvegicus (Norway rat), 2408 nucleotides long. The record is from RefSeq and is a predicted model, not a curated record. NCBI's taxonomy places the organism in Eukaryota, Metazoa, Chordata, Mammalia, Rodentia, Muridae.
CUGGUUAAUUCAGAUAACGAACUAGACUCUGGCAUGCUAACUAGUUACGCGACCCCCUGAGCGGUCGGCGUCCCCCAACUUCUUAGAGGGACAAGUGGCGUUCAGCCACCCGAGAUUGAGCAAUAACAGACCUGUUAUUGCUCAAUCUCGGGUGGCUGAACGCCACUUGUCCCUCUAAGAAGUUGGGGGACGCCGACCGCUCAGGGGGUCGCGUAACUAGUUAGCAUGCCAGAGUCUAGUUCGUUAUCUGAAUUAACCAGACAUAUCGCUCCACCAUCUAAGAACGGCCAUGCACCACCACCCACGGAAUCGAGAAAGAGCUAUCAAUCUGUCAAUCCUGUCUGUGUCCGGGCCGGGUGAGGUUUCCCGUGUUGAGUCAAAUUAAGCUGCAGGCUCCACUCGUGGUGGUGCCCUUCCGUCAAUUUCGCUAAGUUUCAGCUUUGCAACCAUACUCCCCCCAGAACCCAAAGACUUUGGUUUCCACAGAAGAUGCUUGACUAUCAUGGGAAUAACGCCGCCGCAUCGCCAGUCGCCAUCUGUUUAGUUAUGUACCCCCAUUUGUUUUUCUUUUUCUUUCUCUAUUUCUCUUUCUUUUUCUUUCAAUGGGGGAGGGGAUUUUUUUUAAUUCACAUUUUAAAUAUUAUCCCCUUUCCUCAUUUGCCCUCUAGAAACCGGCUAUUAUUUCCCCUCAUGCCUCCUGUUCUGAGGGCAGUUCCUCACUCACCCACUCACUCCUUCCAACCUGCCCAUUCUGACAGUUCCCUACACUGGGGCAUCAAGCCUUGACAGGACCAAGGGCAUUUGCUCCCAUUGGUGCCUGAAAAGGAUAUCCUCUGCUUCAUAUGCAGAUGGAGCCAUAGGCUCAUCCUUGUGUAUUCUUGGGAUGGUUGUUUAGUCCAUGGAAGAUCAAGGGCAGGGGGUUGGUUGGUUGAUAUUGUUCUUCUUAUGGGGUGGCAAACCCCUUCAACUACUUCAGUUCUUUCUCUAACUCCUCUUUUUGGAACCUUGUUCUCAGCUCAAUGGUUGAUUGCAAGCAUUCUCCCUUCUUCCCUCCGUCUCUUCUUCCCUCCCUCCCCACACCGCUCUAUGUUUGUAUGUUUGUGUGUUUCUGUGUCUCUGUGUAUGUGUGUCUGUGUCUGUAUGUCUUUCUAAGUGAAUGUCACUUUUCUUUUCUUAGAAAAAGUGAUGAGGUAAGAGUCUUCCCCAAGCUAUGCAAAUACGUCCUUUAGGCUGAGGCCAGAGUAUUUUUUACCUCUGUUCUACUAUUUAUAGACCUAAUACUAGGAGCUUCUAGCCUCCAUGUAAUCCAACCUUCCAAGUUGACUGAUUCAAUAUGGUUUCUCUUGGCAUCUUCAUGAGUUGUUCUACUUGGACUCACAUUAACUUGGACAAUGUGUUACAAUCUUCUGGAUCCUUCUAAUUCUCCAGCUUUUUCUGUUGUCCCCAGUGAAUAGUUUGUUCUCUCAGAACCUGAAUCUGUAAAACCAUGUCCAGAAAACUUCCGUAAACACAUGCCACACACCACAACUUCUCUUUCUUGCUCUACUUCUCUCUGUCUUUCUUUUGUCUAUUUUUGUCUCUCUUUCUUUACUCUUUACUCUUGUGUAUUCUCUUAUUCCUAAGCUGUUCUCAUGUGAAUUGGGCAUAUUUUAUCUGUGAUACAUUCUGUCACUUUUUUCUUUGAAUUACUACUUUAUCUGGCCCUCAAUUAUAUGACACUUUCAAACAUGGCUACCAACCUUACAAUGUACAAUCAUCUUGCUAAUAUUUAUCUACCUAGUUCUUACCUGGACCUAUUGGUUGUAAAGAAUUAACCUUUCAGGAUGCCUAUAUUUAUGGCAGAGUCUUUCUGACCUUUCAUAUAUGAUGGCCUGUGUCUCAAAGAUGAGGGUAUUAGAAUAAAAUUAUUCUACACAUUUUCUAGAACGUUGAAAGAUUCAACUUAAGUCUUAUUUUAUGAUCCCAUUAGCAGCCAUCAGUCCAAAACACAAAAUCACUAAAACAAAUCCGAGUUGCAUCAGGUAGGGUGGGAAGAUAUCCCAGUGAUUAAGCAGGCAGGAAAUGUUACAUGGGAAGACAUGGGAAGAAGAUUGUUUAUUGGUCUAUGUUUAUGGCUUGCUCAGCCUGUGUUUUUAUAAAAGCUAGAACAAUAAACCCAGGAGUGGGACAAGCUACAGUGAGCUGGGCCCUCCAACAAAAUUAUUGAUCAAGAAAGUGGCCACAGGCUUUUUCAUUGGACAAUCUUAUGAAGAGUUUUUUCUCAGUUAAGAUUUCUUCUUCCAAGUUAUCUCUAGUUUUAUAUCACGUUGAUAAAAAACCUUCCUAUAUAGUUUGUAGGUGAGAGUUUGUGGGUGUAUAUCUCUAAGCUUGUGUAUUGAAGUGAUAUCAUUAAAAAUUUUACAAAAGAA